GAGACCAUCCGUCCAUCUCCACCCAAUUCCUCCUCCCAAGUCUCAUCGCACACGCGUCCUGGCAGUGCCGGUGCUCCAACUGAGGCGGCGAUGGCGGGGACCUGAACAAUCUGCUCUCCUUGCAUGUGCCGCCGUUGUGCUGUUCCGCUGAAGGAUAUCUGCUUCUCGUCUCAGGCGCCCCCGGUACAAAGUCGGUCCUCACCGACCACCACCAUAGGGGAAGGAGGCCGCCCUGCAGGGCACCUCAUCCAUCGCCGCAUCCCUUCUCUGCGUUAAUUUAGUAAGGUAAUAAGGUGGAUGCUUUCUUCAGACCGUGAGGUGUCAAGAUUCUUUCUACCGCUGAUGAUUUCCAUGACCACAACGCCAAAGCUAUAUACAUCGGCUUUUUCUGUGAUUUGGGAUGUCAACCACUCAGGAGCUAAAUAUCCAUGUCACCUGAAACUCUAGAGGCAACACCUUUGUCCCAAAACUUAAGGCAUGUAUGAAGGGAAGUAUGCAGGUGAAACAAGGUCCAGGUGAAACUUAAGGCAUGUAUGAAGGGAGAACCUAUGUGCCAAGAAGUCGCACUCGUCCCAUAAUUUUGUGAUUGGGACGUCGGUUUCUCUGCUUGGAUUUAUCAGAAAUCGGGAACCAUAAUAUGAAUUACUAUCAUCUAGCAAGAUUAAUGAAGUUUUUUUUUUGAAAAAAUAUACAGCAUAAUUGUCAAAUGAUGCACCGAACAUGUCCGGGAUGAACACGCCGGGCCUCUUGAUUGUUUGCCUCAUCUACGCUUAGGUUUGCAUAGGGUAGGAAGAGAGGAGAUGCAUCACAUAUGCGAUCCAGGAAUGGUUUUUUGAGAUUCAUGGAACCUGUUUGGCUGUUCCAGAUAGUUGACAUGAAAAAUGGCGUUUUGGGCCUUUUUUUUCCA
Panicum virgatum (switchgrass) is the source of this 907-nucleotide long non-coding RNA. RefSeq lists it as uncharacterized. The transcript is spliced from 3 exons. The record is from RefSeq and is a predicted model, not a curated record. Lineage: Eukaryota; Viridiplantae; Streptophyta; Magnoliopsida; Poales; Poaceae.